RNAcentral lists this ribosomal RNA (2889 nucleotides) under Shigella flexneri. RNAcentral's name for it is "partial 23S ribosomal RNA". It matches the Rfam family "Bacterial large subunit ribosomal RNA". The record is from RNAcentral. Lineage: Bacteria; Pseudomonadati; Pseudomonadota; Gammaproteobacteria; Enterobacterales; Enterobacteriaceae.
AUGCCCUGGCAGUCAGAGGCGAUGAAGGACGUGCUAAUCUGCGAUAAGCGUCGGUAAGGUGAUAUGAACCGUUAUAACCGGCGAUUUCCGAAUGGGGAAACCCAGUGUGAUUCGUCACACUAUCAUUAACUGAAUCCAUAGGUUAAUGAGGCGAACCGGGGGAACUGAAACAUCUAAGUACCCCGAGGAAAAGAAAUCAACCGAGAUUCCCCCAGUAGCGGCGAGCGAACGGGGAGCAGCCCAGAGCCUGAAUCAGUGUGUGUGUUAGUGGAAGCGUCUGGAAAGGCGUGCGAUACAGGGUGACAGCCCCGUACACAAAAAUGCACAUACUGUGAGCUCGAUGAGUAGGGCGGGACACGUGGUAUCCUGUCUGAAUAUGGGGGGACCAUCCUCCAAGGCUAAAUACUCCUGACUGACCGAUAGUGAACCAGUACCGUGAGGGAAAGGCGAAAAGAACCCCGGCGAGGGGAGUGAAAAAGAACCUGAAACCGUGUACGUACAAGCAGUGGGAGCACGCUUAGGCGUGUGACUGCGUACCUUUUGUAUAAUGGGUCAGCGACUUAUAUUCUGUAGCAAGGUUAACCGAAUAGGGGAGCCGAAGGGAAACCGAGUCUUAACUGGGCGUUAAGUUGCAGGGUAUAGACCCGAAACCCGGUGAUCUAGCCAUGGGCAGGUUGAAGGUUGGGUAACACUAACUGGAGGACCGAACCGACUAAUGUUGAAAAAUUAGCGGAUGACUUGUGGCUGGGGGUGAAAGGCCAAUCAAACCGGGAGAUAGCUGGUUCUCCCCGAAAGCUAUUUAGGUAGCGCCUCGUGAAUUCAUCUCCGGGGGUAGAGCACUGUUUCGGCAAGGGGGUCAUCCCGACUUACCAACCCGAUGCAAACUGCGAAUACCGGAGAAUGUUAUCACGGGAGACACACGGCGGGUGCUAACGUCCGUCGUGAAGAGGGAAACAACCCAGACCGCCAGCUAAGGUCCCAAAGUCAUGGUUAAGUGGGAAACGAUGUGGGAAGGCCCAGACAGCCAGGAUGUUGGCUUAGAAGCAGCCAUCAUUUAAAGAAAGCGUAAUAGCUCACUGGUCGAGUCGGCCUGCGCGGAAGAUGUAACGGGGCUAAACCAUGCACCGAAGCUGCGGCAGCGACGCUUAUGCGUUGUUGGGUAGGGGAGCGUUCUGUAAGCCUGUGAAGGUGUGCUGUGAGGUAUGCUGGAGGUAUCAGAAGUGCGAAUGCUGACAUAAGUAACGAUAAAGCGGGUGAAAAGCCCGCUCGCCGGAAGACCAAGGGUUCCUGUCCAACGUUAAUCGGGGCAGGGUGAGUCGACCCCUAAGGCGAGGCCGAAAGGCGUAGUCGAUGGGAAACAGGUUAAUAUUCCUGUACUUGGUGUUACUGCGAAGGGGGGACGGAGAAGGCUAUGUUGGCCGGGCGACGGUUGUCCCGGUUUAAGCGUGUAGGCUGGUUUUCCAGGCAAAUCCGGAAAAUCAAGGCCGAGGCGUGAUGACGAGGCACUACGGUGCUGAAGCAACAAAUGCCCUGCUUCCAGGAAAAGCCUCUAAGCAUCAGGUAACAUCAAAUCGUACCCCAAACCGACACAGGUGGUCAGGUAGAGAAUACCAAGGCGCUUGAGAGAACUCGGGUGAAGGAACUAGGCAAAAUGGUGCCGUAACUUCGGGAGAAGGCACGCUGAUACGUAGGUGAAGCGACUUGCUCGUGGAGCUGAAAUCAGUCGAAGAUACCAGCUGGCUGCAACUGUUUAUUAAAAACACAGCACUGUGCAAACACGAAAGUGGACGUAUACGGUGUGACGCCUGCCCGGUGCCGGAAGGUUAAUUGAUGGGGUUAGCGCAAGCGAAGCUCUUGAUCGAAGCCCCGGUAAACGGCGGCCGUAACUAUAACGGUCCUAAGGUAGCGAAAUUCCUUGUCGGGUAAGUUCCGACCUGCACGAAUGGCGUAAUGAUGGCCAGGCUGUCUCCACCCGAGACUCAGUGAAAUUGAACUCGCUGUGAAGAUGCAGUGUACCCGCGGCAAGACGGAAAGACCCCGUGAACCUUUACUAUAGCUUGACACUGAACAUUGAGCCUUGAUGUGUAGGAUAGGUGGGAGGCUUUGAAGUGUGGACGCCAGUCUGCAUGGAGCCGACCUUGAAAUACCACCCUUUAAUGUUUGAUGUUCUAACGUGGACCCGUGAUCCGGGUUGCGGACAGUGUCUGGUGGGUAGUUUGACUGGGGCGGUCUCCUCCUAAAGAGUAACGGAGGAGCACGAAGGUUGGCUAAUCCUGGUCGGACAUCAGGAGGUUAGUGCAAUGGCAUAAGCCAGCUUGACUGCGAGCGUGACGGCGCGAGCAGGUGCGAAAGCAGGUCAUAGUGAUCCGGUGGUUCUGAAUGGAAGGGCCAUCGCUCAACGGAUAAAAGGUACUCCGGGGAUAACAGGCUGAUACCGCCCAAGAGUUCAUAUCGACGGCGGUGUUUGGCACCUCGAUGUCGGCUCAUCACAUCCUGGGGCUGAAGUAGGUCCCAAGGGUAUGGCUGUUCGCCAUUUAAAGUGGUACGCGAGCUGGGUUUAGAACGUCGUGAGACAGUUCGGUCCCUAUCUGCCGUGGGCGCUGGAGAACUGAGGGGGGCUGCUCCUAGUACGAGAGGACCGGAGUGGACGCAUCACUGGUGUUCGGGUUGUCAUGCCAAUGGCACUGCCCGGUAGCUAAAUGCGGAAGAGAUAAGUGCUGAAAGCAUCUAAGCACGAAACUUGCCCCGAGAUGAGUUCUCCCUGACCCUUUAAGGGUCCUGAAGGAACGUUGAAGACGACGACGUUGAUAGGCCGGGUGUGUAAGCGCAGCGAUGCGUUGAGCUAACCGGUACUAAUGAACCGUGAGGCUUAACCUUACAACGCCGAAG